AACGAACGCUGGCGGCAGGCUUAACACAUGCAAGUCGGACGCAUCCUUCGGGGUGAGUGGCAGACGGGUGAGUAACGCGUGGGAACGUGCCCUUCAAUUCGGGAUAACCCAGGGAAACUUGGGCUAAUACCGGAUACGUGCGAGAGCAGAAAGAUUUAUCGCUGAAGGAUCGGCCCGCGUCUGAUUAGCUAGUUGGUGGGGUAAUGGCCCACCAAGGCGACGAUCAGUAGCUGGUCUGAGGGGAUGAUCAGCCACAUUGGGACUGAGACACGGCCCAAACUCCUACGGGAUGCAGCAGUGGGUAAUAUUGGACAAUGGGCGCAAGCCUGAUCCAGCCAUACCGCGUGAGUGAUGAAGGCCUUAGGGUUGUAAAGCUCUUUCGUCCGGGACGAUAAUGACGGUACCGGAAGAAGAAGCCCCGGCUAACUUCGUGCCAGCCGCCGCCGUAA
This 449-nucleotide ribosomal RNA is filed under the name uncultured bacterium. Its description in RNAcentral is "partial 16S ribosomal RNA". It matches the Rfam family "Bacterial small subunit ribosomal RNA", at positions 29 to 523 of the family's 1533-position model. The record is from RNAcentral.